GCUUUAUGAAAAGAGGGCAGCUUUCUGAAAAUUAUUUUCAUACAGGUGCCAGAAAGAGCAGAGUCUCUUCUCUGGGGGAGGUGGCAGCUACUCCUUCUCACAUAUUGCAAGUGAGAAAGUCAAGGCACAUCUCUAAAAUGGACACCCAAAAGAAACCAAGCAAACCAGAGCUCAAAGGAACUGUAACUUAUGCGGGUUGUGGAAGGAAGUGGCAGAUCAGAGUGGUAAGUAAAAAAAACCAUAAUCAAAUCCACUAAUAACAGCAGCAUUAGGAGCCCAAUCAAGAAAAGGAAAUCCAGGAGAAAGUUCAAUGGGGCUUAACUACGACUGUUGGAAUUACAGAGCCUACUAGAAAAGUUAAGUGAGAAAGUCAGUGAGAUGCACUGCUUGAUUCCCUAACUGGCUCUAGCAUCACUCUUCUUUCUUUCUUCUUCUUUUUUUCUAAUGUUUAUUUUUGAGAGAGAGAGGGCAAGCAGGGUAGGGGCAAAGAGACAGGAGGACAGAGGAUCAGAAGCAGGUUCUGCGCUGACAGCAGAGAACCAGAUGCGGGACUGGAACUCACUGUCAGAUCAUGACCUGAGCCAAAGUCAGAUGCUCACCCAACUGAGCCACCCAGGUGCCCCAGCAUUGCUUUUCUUUAUUGCAUGACACAUUUCCCGAGUAACUCAGGCUUAUUUGACAAAAUAAUAAUUCCUCUCUCCCUAUCUUCUUCGUCUCCAAUUCCACUUCCCAGGGGUUCCUCCUUAAUAAUAGUUUGAUGUGGGGGGGGCGGUGCCUGGGUGGCUCAGUUGGUUAAGCAGCAAACUCUUGAUUUCGGCUCAGGUCAUGAGCUCAUGGUCUGGAAUUGGAGCCCUGCAUCAGGCUCUGAGCUGACAGUGCAGAUUCUCUCUCUCUCCCCCUCUCUCUCUGCCCCUCCACUGCUUGCACACACUCUUUCUCUCUCUCAAAAAAAUAAACAGUAAAAAAUAGUUUCAUGUGGGGGCGCCUUGGUGGCUCAGUCGGUUAAGUGUCCAACUUCAGUUCAGGUCAUGAUCUCACGGUUUGUGGGUUUGAGCCCCACAUCGGGCUUGUGCUGACAACUCAGAGCCUGGAGCCUGCUGCUUCAGAUUCUGUUUUUCCCUCUCUCUCUACCCCUCCCCUGCUCCUGCUUUGUCUGUCUGUCUGUCUCUCUUUCAAAAGUAAAUAAACAUUUUUAAAAAUUUGAAAAUGGGAGACUCUUAAAAACUGAGAACAAACUGAGGGUUGAUGGGGGGUGGGAGGAAGGGGAGGGUAGGCGAUGGGCAUUGAAGAGAGGGCAUCUUUUGGGAUGAGCACUGG
RNAcentral lists this long non-coding RNA (1317 nucleotides) under Lynx canadensis (Canada lynx). Its description in RNAcentral is "lncRNA (ENSLCNG00005017098.1)". Lineage: Eukaryota; Metazoa; Chordata; Mammalia; Carnivora; Felidae. The record is from RNAcentral.